Molecule: ribosomal RNA, 55 nt
Filed under: Polylepis reticulata
Lineage: Eukaryota; Viridiplantae; Streptophyta; Magnoliopsida; Rosales; Rosaceae
Description: partial 18S ribosomal RNA
Rfam family: Eukaryotic small subunit ribosomal RNA
Source: RNAcentral
AAGAAGGAGAAGUCGUAACAAGGUCUCCGUAAGUGAACCUGCGGAAGGAUCAUUG